This 204-nucleotide long non-coding RNA is filed under the name Lathyrus oleraceus (garden pea). Its description in RNAcentral is "Pisum sativum (pea) long non-coding RNA (PSAT_LNC028161)". Lineage: Eukaryota; Viridiplantae; Streptophyta; Magnoliopsida; Fabales; Fabaceae. The record is from RNAcentral.
GAGUAAGCCUAAUUGUUGCAAGCAAGUUAAAUCGGGGUACCUGGUGGGAGCGACGCCUCGCUGCUGGAAGCGCUCGAAUUGCUCUUGCUGAUAGUUGUCAUCUCCGGAUCGGAAGAUGAUAUUUCCGAAAUUUUGAUUUCCCGCCAUUGUGAUGAAUUUUUGAAGGGAUGAUUUGGAAAGAAAAAGAAAUGUAUUUGAUAUGAG